CUCACUUAUGGGGCUGGAGCCAUCUCACUUAUGGGGCUGAACCCAUCUCACUUAUGGGGCUGGAGCCAUCUCACUUAUGGGGCUGGAACCAUCUCACUUAUGGGGCUGGGAGGGGAAGGGGACUGAGCACAUCUCACUUAUGGGGCUGGGAACUAAAACCAUCUCACUUAUGGGGCUGGGAGGGGGAGAAGCACAAAUCACUUGUGGGGCUGGGAGGGGGCUGAGCACAUCUCACUUAUGGGGCUGGAGCCAUGUCACUUAUGGGUCUGGGAGAGAGAGGAGCAUGAAUCACUUAUGGGGCUGGGGGCUGAACCUAUCUCACUUAUGGGGCUGGGAAGGGAUAGGGGACUGAGCCCAUGCUACUUAUGGGGCUGAACCUGUCUCACUUAUGGGGCUGAGAGAGGAAUGGGGCCAAACCCACGUCACUUAUGGGGCUGGGAGAGGAAUGGGGCCAUGGGGACCGAACCCAUAUCAACUUAUGGGGCUGAACACAAGGCAGGACCCGAACCCUUCUCACUUCUAGGUCUGGCCGCUGUCACUUAUGGGGCAGGCGCCAUCCAGGCCCCCCACGCCGUGUUCCUGGUGCCGCUGGCCUGUGCCCAUCUCACUUAUGGGGCUGGGGACAGAACCCACGUCACUUAUGGGGCUGAAAACAACAGGAUCUCACUUAUGGGGCUGGGAAUGACAGCAUCUAUCUCACUUAUGGGGCUGGGAGAGGGAUGGGGACCGAACCCUUCUCACUUAUGGGGCUGGGAGCCAUCACUUAUGGGGCUGGAAGAGGGAUGGGGACUGACAGGAUCUCACUUAUGGGGCUGGGAGAGGAUGGGGACCAAACCCAGGUCACUUAUGGGGCAGGGACUGAACCCAUGUCACUAUGGGCCGAACCCAGGUCACUUAUGGGGCUGGGACUAACAGGACCUCACUUAUGGGGCUGGGAGAGGGACGGGGACUGAACCCAUAUCAACUUAUGGGCCGAACCCAGGUCACUUAUGGGGCUGGGAUGGGCUGAGAACCGAACCCGGAUCACUUAUGGGGCCGAACAGAAGGCAGGACGGCGAAACCCUUCUCACUCUGGAUCUGGACGCCGUCAAUUAUGGGGCAGAGCCGUACCUUAUGGGGCAGGCGCCAUCCACGCCCCCCACGCCGCG
This 1148-nucleotide long non-coding RNA is filed under the name Coturnix japonica (Japanese quail). RNAcentral's name for it is "lncRNA (ENSCJPG00005004802.1)". The record is from RNAcentral. Lineage: Eukaryota; Metazoa; Chordata; Aves; Galliformes; Phasianidae.